CUGUUUGGCAGCACAGAUACUAAAAAUUGGAACAAUACAGAAAAGACUAGCAUGGCCCCUGCCCAAAGAGGACAUGCACAUUCUCAAAUUUGUGAAGUGUUC
Molecule: small nuclear RNA, 102 nt
Organism: Lutra lutra (Eurasian river otter)
Lineage: Eukaryota; Metazoa; Chordata; Mammalia; Carnivora; Mustelidae
Source: RefSeq, a predicted model, not a curated record